CUGGGCUAGGGUGGGGAGCACGGAGAGGGCUCAGUGCGUGGCUGUGCCUGUUGGUUUGAGAGGCACAGCUUCAGGCUCCCGGUGCCCAAGGAGAUGGGAAGUGUCCUCCCCCUGGAUGGGCUCCAGUGAGACAGAUGGUGAAGUUCUCAGAGGUGCCUGUUAUUUGGAAUCUCAUUCAAAAAUGUCUUCAGCAAUAAUUCUCAGCCCGUGAGUCCCUGGUGAAAUCUGCAUUGCAGCAAUUCAAAAUGAGCGAAAUUUACACUACAAGGCAGCAGCACCUAGUGGAAAAAUGGUGCAAAAAUGAAAAAGGCAAGGACAAAAAAAGAAAAUAUACCUCCACUUUCAAAACUCAAAUGGAACCUAAAAUCUUUCCGUGUCCAAAAAAUGACAUUUUCAGUCAAAAUGAACUGAAUUGUUUUGAUUCAAAAGGUAAAUUCCUGCAUUAAAACUCUAUUU
This is a long non-coding RNA of Alligator sinensis (Chinese alligator), 456 nucleotides long. RefSeq lists it as uncharacterized. The transcript is spliced from 3 exons. Lineage: Eukaryota; Metazoa; Chordata; Crocodylia; Alligatoridae. The record is from RefSeq and is a predicted model, not a curated record.